AUUGAACGCUGGCGGCAGGCCUAACACAUGCAAGUCGAACGGUAGCACAGAGAGCUUGCUCUCGGGUGACGAGUGGCGGACGGGUGAGUAAUGUCUAGGAAACUGCCUGAUGGAGGGGGAUAACUACUGGAAACGGUAGCUAAUACCGCAUAACGUCGCAAGACCAAAGAGGGGGACCUUCGGGCCUCUUGCCAUCGGAUGUGCCCAGAUGGGAUUAGCUUGUUGGUGGGGUAACGGAUCACCAAGGCGACGAUCCCUAGCUGGUCUGAGAGGAUGACCAGCCACACUGGAACUGAGACACGGUCCAGACUCCUACGGGAGGCAGCAGUGGGGAAUAUUGCACAAUGGGCGCAAGCCUGAUGCAGCCAUGCCGCGUGUAUGAAGAAGGCCUUCGGGUUGUAAAGUACUUUCAGCGGGGAGGAAGGGAGUAAAGUUAAUACCUUUACUCAUUGACGUUACCCGCAGAAGAAGCACCGGCUAACUCCGUGCCAGCCGCCGCGGUAA
This 504-nucleotide ribosomal RNA is filed under the name uncultured bacterium. RNAcentral describes it as "partial 16S ribosomal RNA". It matches the Rfam family "Bacterial small subunit ribosomal RNA", at positions 30 to 523 of the family's 1533-position model. The record is from RNAcentral.